Molecule: ribosomal RNA, 173 nt
Filed under: Xanthorhoe vidanoi
Lineage: Eukaryota; Metazoa; Arthropoda; Insecta; Lepidoptera; Geometridae
Description: partial 16S ribosomal RNA
Source: RNAcentral
GAGUUCAAACCGGUGUAAGCCAGGUUGGUUUCUAUCUUUUAUAAAAGAAAAUAUUUUAGUACGAAAGGAUCAAAUAUUUAAAUUAAAUUUAUAAUAAAGAAUAUUAUUAAUAAUAAUUAUAUUUGUUAUUUAAUAUAAAUAUAUAGAUAUAUAUAUAUAUAUAUAUGUGUAAG